GACCGACCCGGACCCUACAUGGCGGCGUUCCGCCCGCGGUGGCUGGGGUCCCGGCCUUGAAAGGAAGCGUUCGCGAGUGGCUCCCGGGGCUCUUGGGAAAUGAAGCAUUGGCCUGGAUUUAUGUGGUGAGCUUCCCUCUUGGAGAACCUCGUGAGGGUUAACCACCGUUUCUUGCGUUGCAGUUACUUAAGAAAAAUAAUAACGUUACAACCCACGUAUAAAUCUCAUUGUACAAAUUACGGAAGUCAAGACACAGAGUGACGCUCCCCGACGAGGCAGAGUGGACAGUGAGAGAGACAGAGAGAAAGGUCUUCCUUUUGCCGUUGGUUCACCCCACAAUGGCCGCUGCGGCCAGUGCACCGUGCUGAUCUGAAGCCAGGAGCCAGGUGCUUCUCCUGGUCUCCCAUGCGGGUGCAGGGCCCAAGGACUUGGGCCAUCCUCCACUGCACUCCCGGGCCACAGCAGAGAGCUGGACUGGAAGAGGAGCAACCAGGACAGAAUCCGGCGCCCCAGCAGGGACUAGAACCCGGUGUGCCGGCACCGCAGGCGGAAGAUUAGUCUAUUGAGCCACAGCGCCGGCCUUACAGAUUCCACACCAGAUCAUCCAUCACAAACAACACCAGCCCGGAAGGAAACUCCCAGUUCUUCAUCUCGGCAGAAAGAUAAAGUUGAUAAAAGAAAUGAAUGUGGUGAGACUCCAUUACACAUGGCAGCUAUUCGAAGAGAUGUGAAGCAAGUCAAAGAAUUAAUAAGUUUAGGGGCAAAUGUGAAUGUGAAAGAUUUUGCAGAGAAAAGUGAAGAGAAGAGAUAAGGGGUGACGUGACUGAAAUUCACUAGCAAAUUGGCUGUCCCAGAUCAUGGGAGAGAAUAUUGAAGUUUUUGAGUGCAAAGGUACAUAUUAAGCUUCGGGAUAUUGGAAUUUUUACAUUAAUUUAUAUUUUAAUUCUUACUGUACUUGGCAUGCGCAAUAAAGCAGCACGUGUAAAAGCUACACAGUGCGAGGACUUUAUCAUAAAGGUUGCUGUAGUUUUCUUUAGAGUUUAGUGAGGGAUUUGUGGCCCUUUUUGUUGGAUAAGUGGGCCAGAAAGGCAGGGUAGAUUUUGAAGCACUGGUUUUGUUGAAGCUAAGUUUUAAUUAAAACUGGGAACAUGAAAAGCUAACUUAUAAAAGCAAUACUUUUAAUGCAAAAAAAUGUAAUGCAAACUUGUUUCUACUUUUGCCUCAAAAGGAAAUUUGUUGGGAUAGUGUGGCAAAUCGUAAAAGUCAAAAACCAGAUUAUUGAGCCUUGAAGUUGUAGAAAAUAAGAGAGGUCUCGCUCUUGAGUGGUACCUCAGAAAGCUGGAGCCUGCUGCCUGGGUCCGCACAUCUCCUCUGUCAGGUAACUCGGAGCUAAUGGGGACAGCUUCAAGUUACUGCCUUCUCAUUGGACAUUUCUAAUCAAGGAAGUUGCUGAGGGCUUCUGACAUCGAAGAUAAUCUAAAACCCUGAAAUGCUAGGGAAAAACGUGGAAUGGGCUGUAUACCUAAAAAGGUUACAGGUUCUGAAAGAAAAACAAAAGUGGUUAGUUUAAUCAGUGACUCUUUUUAAACUAUUCAAAUAUCAUGAACAAGAUACUAAAUUGUACCUAAGGAUUUGUAUUUCUUUAAAUCUUGUUCUAAAUCAUAUCUGUUUAAUA
Molecule: long non-coding RNA, 1675 nt
Organism: Lepus europaeus (European hare)
Lineage: Eukaryota; Metazoa; Chordata; Mammalia; Lagomorpha; Leporidae
Exons: 5
Source: RefSeq, a predicted model, not a curated record